RNAcentral lists this ribosomal RNA (464 nucleotides) under uncultured bacterium. RNAcentral's name for it is "partial 16S ribosomal RNA". It matches the Rfam family "Bacterial small subunit ribosomal RNA", at positions 339 to 795 of the family's 1533-position model. The record is from RNAcentral.
CUACGGGCGGCACCAGUGGGGAAUUUUGGACAAUGGGCGAAAGCCUGAUCCAGCCAUGCCGCGUGCAGGAUGAAGGCCUUCGGGUUGUAAACUGCUUUUGUACGGAACGAAAAGACUCUUUCUAAUAAAGAGGGUCCAUGACGGUACCGUAAGAAUAAGCACCGGCUAACUACGUGCCAGCAGCCGCGGUAAUACGUAGGGUGCAAGCGUUAAUUGGAAUUACUGGGCGUAAAGCGUGCGCAGGCGGUUAUAUAAGACAGAUGUGAAAUCCCCGGGCUCAACCUGGGAACUGCAUUUGUGACUGUAUAGCUAGAGUACGGCAGAGGGGGAUGGAAUUCCGCGUGUAGCAGUGAAAUGCGUAGAUAUGCGGAGGAACACCGAUGGCGAAGGCAAUCCCCUGGGCCUGUACUGACGCUCAUGCACGAAAGCGUGGGGAGCAAACAGGAUUAGAUACCCCAGUAGUC